RNAcentral lists this small RNA (181 nucleotides) under Pan troglodytes (chimpanzee). RNAcentral's name for it is "processed transcript". Lineage: Eukaryota; Metazoa; Chordata; Mammalia; Primates; Hominidae. The record is from RNAcentral.
GCUUGUGCAGCGUCGGAUCCUUGAGUGAUAAAGAAGUAGAGGGAAAGGCACUCCUAGGGGACAUAAAAUUAGUGAUUACUUUGAGUUUGCUGGGGGAAGCGGGCCAGGAACCAGCCCUGGCAGAAGUGUUCCACCAGUUGCACGAUCCUCACCGCAACAUUCCUUAUCCAAUCCCUUACCG